CAGAAAGCUUUGAACGGGAAAAUAGUCUGGAAACAGGGCCACAGAGAACCGGGGUUGGUGGAAGCCGGUGUCGCUGUCAGUCUAUUCUCGCCCGGGAGCUGCCCCCGUGAAAGUGUCUUCACCGGUAAUUGGGGCCGGGUUUUACUGGAACCCGUUAUCAAAAAUUGCACCGUACAGCAGGCUGUAUUUGUGCAUGAGUGGCUCCCCUUUGGGAGCAAGCAGGGUGGUACCGCGGAAGGAUAACCUCUCGUCCCUGGC
Molecule: non-coding RNA, 258 nt
Filed under: Desulforamulus ferrireducens
Lineage: Bacteria; Bacillati; Bacillota; Clostridia; Eubacteriales; Peptococcaceae
Description: Desulfotomaculum ferrireducens T-box sequence
Rfam family: T-box leader
About the family: Uncharged tRNA acts as the effector for transcription antitermination of genes in the T-box leader family. T-boxes are found upstream of many aminoacyl-tRNA synthetase genes and some amino acid biosynthetic genes usually in Gram-positive bacteria.
Source: RNAcentral